Molecule: ribosomal RNA, 473 nt
Filed under: uncultured bacterium
Lineage: Bacteria
Description: bacterial SSU rRNA
Rfam family: Bacterial small subunit ribosomal RNA
Source: RNAcentral
AAUAGCCCAGGGAAACUUGGUGUAAUACCGUAUACGCCCUUCGGGGGAAAGAUUAUAUCGCUAUUGGAGUAGCCCGCGUUAGAUUAGAUAGUUGGUGGGGUAAUGGCCUACCAAGUCGACGAUCUAUAGCUGGUUUGAGAGGAUGAUCAGCCACACUGGGACUGAGACACGGCCCAGACUCCUACGGGAGGCUGCAGUGAGGAAUAUUGGACAAUGGGGGCAACCCUGAUCCAGCCAUGCCGCGUGAAUGAAGAAGGCCCUAGGGUUGUAAAGUUCUUUUAUCGGUGAAGAUAAUGACGGUAGCCGAAGAAAAAGCCCCGGCUAACUCCGUGCCAGCAGCCGCGGUAAUACGGAGGGGGCAAGCGUUGUUCGGAAUUACUGGGCGUAAAGAGUACGUAGGCGGAUCGUUAAGUUAGAGGUGAAAUCCCAGGGCUCAACCCUGGAACUGCCUUUAAUACUGGCGAUCUAGAGAU